Lycium ferocissimum is the source of this 602-nucleotide long non-coding RNA. RefSeq lists it as uncharacterized. The record is from RefSeq and is a predicted model, not a curated record. Lineage: Eukaryota; Viridiplantae; Streptophyta; Magnoliopsida; Solanales; Solanaceae. The transcript has 2 exons.
UUUCGCAACAGCCCCCCUCCCCUCUCCAAAUGAAGAAAUAGCAGGUUUGGGAAGAGUGGUAGUAAUAUCUCCAUCUAUUUCCCCCUUUAAAUGAAGAAAUGUAUGUUUAACGGAGUGUACUUGAAAUGGUGCGAUCUGUCAAACUUGCAUUAUUCAGUUUUUACCGGAGGCAAAUGAAGUGAAAUUUGCAAGACAAUCAAUUCCCGUAGGAGCAUCUUUUAAGUUGGACUAUUUGACACAGCCUUCUUUUUUCAAGGAUUUCGGUUUCACCUAGAAGGUCAAGCUUGCUGACUGUGUCAAGCCAGAAGAUGAACUCUUUGUAGUCGCCUAUCCAUAUUAUAUUGUUAACAGUAACAUAAAACUCUUCCACAUUAGUGUAUAUCAAGUGGUCGAUUUCAUUGAAAUUUUAUGAUGACAGCAUUUAUUUCUGCAAUAUAGAGAUGCUUGUCGUGGAAGAGCUAUACAGAGCAGCAGUGUCGAACAAAUAUAGGAAACUGAUUUUAUUCAACAGAGAGCUUGAUCGAAUAAGUUCUGGUUGUAUCCUUUCUUACCACAAAUUUUGAUUGUUCAAUCUGAUAUCAUUUUCUUUCCCCGGUAACAAA